Molecule: unclassified non-coding RNA, 267 nt
Filed under: fungal sp.
Lineage: Eukaryota; Fungi
Also listed under: 1 other name
Description: partial internal transcribed spacer region
Rfam family: Eukaryotic small subunit ribosomal RNA (bases 1-46)
Source: RNAcentral
AAGUCGUAACAAGGUUUCCGUAGGUGAACCUGCGGAAGGAUCAUUACAUUCAGUAGCUUGCUACUGUUAGGGGGGUCUGUCAGUCUGUAUAGUAUCACUACUGAUGAGCAGCGCGACCCUCUGUCUGUACCCUUGUCUUUUGCGUACUCAUGUUUCCUCGGCGGGUUUACACCCGCCGGCUGGACAACUCUAUAACCUUUUUAAUUUUCAAUCAGCGUCUGAAAAACCUAAUAAUUACAACUUUCAACAACGGAUCUCUUGGUUCUG